RNAcentral lists this ribosomal RNA (463 nucleotides) under uncultured bacterium. RNAcentral's name for it is "SSU rRNA". It matches the Rfam family "Bacterial small subunit ribosomal RNA", at positions 26 to 518 of the family's 1533-position model. The record is from RNAcentral.
AGGACAAACGCUGGCGGCGUACUUAAGACAUGCAAGUCGAACGGGCGCUUCACCUUCGGGUGGGUGUGCUAGUGGCGGACGGGUGAGUAACGCGUAGGAACCUGUCAUCAAGAGGGGGAUAACGCUGGGAAACCGGCGCUAAUACCGCAUGUGGUCAUGAAAAUGAAGAAAGCAGCAAUGCGCUUGAUGAGGGGCCUGCGUCCGAUUAGCUUGUUGGUGGGGUAAAGGCCUACCAAGGCAUCGAUCGGUAGCUGGUCUGAGAGGAUGGUCAGCCACACUGGGACUGAGACACGGCCCAGACUCCUACGGGAGGCAGCAGUUAGGAAAUUUUCCCAAUGGGCGCAAGCCUGAGGGAGUAACGCCGCGUGGAGGAUGACGGCUUUCGGGUUGUAAACUCCUUUCUGUGGAGAGUAGAGACGGUACCGCAGGAAUAAGCCUCGGCUAACUACGCGCCAGCAGCCGC